GACGAACGCUGGCGGCGUGCCUAAUACAUGCAAGUAGAACGCAGUUGCGAACGGGUGAGUAACGCGUAGGUAACUGCCGGGUAGCGGGGGGUAACUAUUGGAAACGAUAGCUAAUACCGCAUACUACCAGGUGGACCUGCGUUGUAUUAGCUAGUUGGUGGGGUAAAGGCUCACCAAGGCAACGAUACAUAGCCGACCUGGGAGGGGGAGCGGCCAAAAUGGGACUGGGAAAAGGGCCAGACUCCUAAGGGAGGGCGCAGGAGGGAAACUUCGGAAAUGGGCGGAAGUCUGACCGAGCAAAUCCGCGUGAGUGAAGAAGGUUUUCGGAUCGUAAAGCUCUGUUGUAAGAGAAGCGGUAUCUUAACAGAAAGGGACGGCUAACUACGUGCCAGCAGCCGCGGUAAUUC
RNAcentral lists this ribosomal RNA (407 nucleotides) under uncultured bacterium. RNAcentral describes it as "partial 16S ribosomal RNA". It matches the Rfam family "Bacterial small subunit ribosomal RNA", at positions 28 to 526 of the family's 1533-position model. The record is from RNAcentral.